GGCCCUAAUACAUGCAGUCGAGCGGACAGAAGGGAGCUUGCUCCCGGAUGUUAGCGGCGGACGGGUGAGUAACACGUGGGUAACCUGCCUGUAAGACUGGGAUAACUCCGGGAAACCGGAGCUAAUACCGGAUAGUUCCUUGAACCGCAUGGUUCAAGGAUGAAAGACGGUUUCGGCUGUCACUUACAGAUGGACCCGCGGCGCAUUAGCUAGUUGGUGAGGUAACGGCUCACCAAGGCGACGAUGCGUAGCCGACCUGAGAGGGUGAUCGGCCACACUGGGACUGAGACACGGCCCAGACUCCUACGGGAGGCAGCAGUAGGGAAUCUUCCGCAAUGGACGAAAGUCUGACGGAGCAACGCCGCGUGAGUGAUGAAGGUUUUCGGAUCGUAAAGCUCUGUUGUUAGGGAAGAACAAGUGCAAGAGUAACUGCUUGCACCUUGACGGUACCUAACCAGAAAGCCACGGCUAACUACGUGCCAGCAGCCGCGGUAAUACGUAGGUGGCAAGCGUUGUCCGGAAUUUUGGGCGUAAAGGGCUCGCAGGCGGUUUCUUAAGUCUGAUGUGAAAGCCCCCGGCUCAACCGGGGAGGGUCAUUGGAAACUGGGAAACUUGAGUGCAGAAGAGGAGAGUGGAAUUCCACGUGUAGCGGUGAAAUGCGUAGAGAUGUGGAGGAACACCAGUGGCGAAGGCGACUCUCUGGUCUGUAACUGACGCUGAGGAGCGAAAGCGUGGGGAGCGAACAGGAUUAGAUACCCUGGUAGUCCACGCCGUAAACGAUGAGUGCUAAGUGUUAGGGGGUUUCCGCCCCUUAGUGCUGCAGCUAACGCAUUAAGCACUCCGCCUGGGGAGUACGGUCGCAAGACUGAAACUCAAAGGAAUUGACGGGGGCCCGCACAAGCGGUGGAGCAUGUGGUUUAAUUCGAAGCAACGCGAAGAACCUUACCAGGUCUUGACAUCCUCUGACAACCCUAGAGAUAGGGCUUUCCCUUCGGGGACAGAGUGACAGGUGGUGCAUGGUUGUCGUCAGCUCGUGUCGUGAGAUGUUGGGUUAAGUCCCGCAACGAGCGCAACCUU
This 1077-nucleotide ribosomal RNA is filed under the name Bacillus altitudinis. Its description in RNAcentral is "bacterial SSU rRNA". It matches the Rfam family "Bacterial small subunit ribosomal RNA", at positions 45 to 1105 of the family's 1533-position model. The record is from RNAcentral. Lineage: Bacteria; Bacillati; Bacillota; Bacilli; Caryophanales; Bacillaceae.